UACGUAGGGUGCAAGCGUUGUCCGGAAUUAUUGGGCGUAAAGAGCUCGUAGGCGGUUUGUCGCGUCUGCUGUGAAAACUCAGGGCUUAACCCUGAGCCUGCAGUGGGUACGGGCAGACUAGAGUGUGGUAGGGGAGAUCGGAAUUCCUGGUGUAGCGGUGGAAUGCGCAGAUAUCAGGAGGAACACCGGCGGCGAAGGCGGGUCUCUGGGCAGUAACUGACGCUGAGGAGCGAAAGCGUGGGGAGCGAACAGG
RNAcentral lists this ribosomal RNA (253 nucleotides) under uncultured bacterium. RNAcentral's name for it is "partial 16S ribosomal RNA". It matches the Rfam family "Bacterial small subunit ribosomal RNA", at positions 524 to 776 of the family's 1533-position model. The record is from RNAcentral.